This 91-nucleotide unclassified non-coding RNA is filed under the name Clostridiales bacterium. RNAcentral's name for it is "Gut-1 RNA". The record is from RNAcentral. Lineage: Bacteria; Bacillati; Bacillota; Clostridia; Eubacteriales.
AAAUUAAAUAUCGGCCUGCGGCCGAUAUGAAAUAUUCAGGCUUCGCCUGAAUGUGAAAUAUCCGGACUAACGUCCGGAUGUGUAAGUUACU